This 126-nucleotide non-coding RNA is filed under the name unclassified sequences. Its description in RNAcentral is "xerDC RNA". It matches the Rfam family "xerDC RNA". The record is from RNAcentral.
GAUCCCAUUGCCGGAGGGAUCAACGGACACAUGCAGCCGUCGCGCUGCAGCCGAGUUCAGCGGCCGUGUCCACCGUUGCCCGCCAGGGCAGGAGUCUUUUGGCUCCAAAACGGUUUCGUACUGACC